Molecule: transfer RNA, 59 nt
Filed under: Xenostrobus securis
Lineage: Eukaryota; Metazoa; Mollusca; Bivalvia; Mytilida; Modiolidae
Description: tRNA-Ser
Source: RNAcentral
GGUCAAUAUUUAUAGUGUUUUGAAAGCACUUUUAAAGUAUGUGUUGUACUUGUUGAUUU